CAAAACAUGGAUACAAUUUCAAUUUAUUGCCUCUUUGCUGCCGCGAUCGCUUUAUCUAUCGUCACGAUAUGCGUGAACACGAUCACAAUCAUCGCAGCGACCACGAGAAAGGCGCUUGACAAGCCCUCAUACAAAUUCAUCCUCGGACUAGCAAUUGCAGACUGCAUGGUCGGCAUCGUUCUCCCCGCAAACGCAAUCUACAAAACCUUCGUGGAACAGCAUUAUGUGAAGGACACCUAUUCAAAAUAUUUCUGCCACUGCUUCUUGCCUAUUUUUUUGGUCUUGGCUUCGUGCAUCGCCUCCAAUAUCAUGCAGAUGAUUAUUGCGUUCGACCGGUGCGUGUCCGUCAUGAAACCUGUGCUGCACCAGAACUUUCUCACUGAGAGGCUAGCAAAUCGUAUAGUAUAUGCCGUUUUCACGUUUUCAACUGUAUUAAGCUCGAUGCCAAUCUACUGGAAUAACUUUCCAGACGGACGAAUAUCGAAUUUGUGUACGCUUUUAACCCUCACCUAUUCGUUUCAUAUUUACGUCCUCGUUCCUGCAUACGCAUUAAACCUGGUCUGCCUGGUUUUCAUCUACGUCCAGGUGCUCAGGGUCGUUGCCGCACGACUCACCAACAACGCGAAAACAAUGAAGGAAAUUUUUUUAUUGAAUAAAAUUAACUUAAUUUAUUUCAAUGACGUUUUCUUUUUUAGAUGGUUGCCGUGAUUCUGACGUGCCAAGUUAUUUGCUGGUUUCCGCACAUGGUGUGCACAUUUUUCUUGUUGAAAGGCGCUCUCCCGAAUAAGGACGACAGCCGCGAACAUGAAGAAUACAGAAACCCUGAGCUUUACUUUACCUACAACUGUUUCUUGCUGUUGGCCUCAUCCAGCUCAUUACUCAAUGCUUUACUGUACUCGUGGCGCAUGCCUGAUUUUCAUAAAGCAAUUAAAGCGAUGAUGUUUCGCAAUUAUCCAUCUACAGUGCCAGAGGAAAAUAUUGCCAAAAAAAACGCAACUCAUGAUGUCUUAAUUCCUCAUAAAAGCUAAAAUAACCAAAGAAUAGGCUUUCUGAAAGAAUUUAUAAUUUUUGAAAGUCAAAUUCCGCUUUCUUGUGGUUUGAAGCAUAUUUCCUUUCCCCAAAUAAACACUACGAAACUCAAAGCUUAAUUGAUUUUCAUUAGUAGUUUCCGGUGAGUAAUUUUUGGUGGCAGUAGGCUAUUUUUUCGACCUUUUGACCAGUGUGGCUUGCACAGCUGUGCUAUAUUCACGGUGGCUGGCGGCUGACC
Molecule: long non-coding RNA, 1267 nt
Organism: Cloeon dipterum
Lineage: Eukaryota; Metazoa; Arthropoda; Insecta; Ephemeroptera; Baetidae
Exons: 4
Source: RefSeq, a predicted model, not a curated record